UGCUGCUUGAUUAAAUUAGCUGAGGAUGGCCACUGGGGAAAUUAGUGGCACCAAAGCCCUUUUAUUGUCACAUGAUAAGGGACAUAUUUUGUGACAGAAAUCA
Anolis sagrei ordinatus is the source of this 103-nucleotide small nucleolar RNA. RefSeq annotates it as small nucleolar RNA SNORA5. The record is from RefSeq and is a predicted model, not a curated record. Lineage: Eukaryota; Metazoa; Chordata; Lepidosauria; Squamata; Anolidae.